Molecule: long non-coding RNA, 756 nt
Organism: Solanum dulcamara
Lineage: Eukaryota; Viridiplantae; Streptophyta; Magnoliopsida; Solanales; Solanaceae
Exons: 3
Source: RefSeq, a predicted model, not a curated record
ACAAAGGGUUAUUUAUGUCUUUUAGUCUCUUUUAACAAAACUAAAUAAAAGAGAUACACUUUGUGGACUACUUAAAAAGACCUAAAAUAUGAAAAUAAAAAAAAUGGAUAGGCUUAAAGCCCAAAAACAGAAAAGAGGGCAGCAAAGUUGCACGAAGGAAAAAGAAAAGAAGAAAAGAACAUGGGGAUUAGGGGGAUUUGGGACUUCUGCGUAGCAAAAAUAAAUAAAUAAGAAGAACUGAAUAGGGGUCGAGGUGCUCGAGAUCAUGUUGCUGGAAAUCAAGGACAGAAAAAUGGUGGUAGAGGCCAGGCAAGAGUUUUUGCACUCACUCGGCAGGAUGCUUAGGUUUCAGAUGCAGUAGUUACAGAGAAUUUAGGUGGCAUUGGUGAGGAUUCCAUCAACUAGAGAGCGUGAACUGAUAGUAUAUGAGACAGGUUUAAGAGAUCGUCAAUAGGCGCACCAUUGAGGAUUUAUUCACACUCAGCUUAUUGGUGAGUCCUUCCCUAUAUUCGGAGGACACCACUUAUGUUAUUCUUGCGUUGAGUUUAGUCUUUUUCAUUUUGAGGUAGCCAUGAACAUGUCAUUGACACCAAUUAGAUAGUAGUGAUAGAGGCUUCAUAGACUAGAUAGUGAUGGAUCGAUUGAGUAUUUUAUUUCCUUGAAUUGUUCUUGUCGGACUAAUUAAUGACAUAGAUUGGAGCUUGAUUUGUUGGCUCAUGGUCUUUCUUCCUUGAGCUAGAUUGUUGAUUUGAGUUG